CUGAGACAUGAGGUUCGCCAAGGAUAGCAUAAACUUCUUAUUGCAGUGCCCCCACUCUUCUGUGGUACAUGGGAACAUAUGUAGUCUUGGACACAGGCUAUGAAUACUGCAAUCAUCUCAAGUAGGAUCUUUGAGAAACUUGACUGUUACACAUCUAACACAAUGCCCUUAGAUGACUCUAGUAAUAAAGAUGCUAUGAAGUCAACGGCAUGCUGCAUUGUGACCAUCCAUUGUGUCAACAUUAGAUCCUUUGAUUUAUGUGUAGUAUUUUGUUAUGGUGUAUGCAUU
This is a non-coding RNA of Pelobates cultripes (western spadefoot toad), 288 nucleotides long. The record is from the annotation of a GenBank genome assembly. NCBI's taxonomy places the organism in Eukaryota, Metazoa, Chordata, Amphibia, Anura, Pelobatidae.